GAAAGACUUAGGUACCAUUCACAAAACCAAAGAGAUGGCAUUGGGAAAGCCCUCCUCUAUUGAGUAGCCCAGUGGUUAAAGGAUGAGAGUAACUCAUCAAAAGGAGAGUCAAGAAAGACGAAAGAAGGUUCGUGUAAAGAGUCUUCAUGUGGCAGUGAACUACAGAGCAGUUCAUUGGCAGAGCAGAACACCACCGUUCACUUGGAUGAUGGUGAAUAUUGGUCCAAUCGUGCAGCUGUUUAUAAAGGAAAACCCCACAGAGCUAUCUUUGAAGACAGCCUAGAGAAAAUAUACAGAAACAUGUACAAGAAAGCGUGUGGCUCCUCCAUUUCAAAAAGAAAAAUGCAUUCCUGAAAGCAAUACAACCGGAAAUGUACAGUAUAUAAGGUUCAUAUUUUUAGUGAGAAUUAUUUUUGUGUAACAAAUAUUUGUACUCUCUUUUUUAACAUGUAACAUUCACUAGGAAGAUCUGUUAUGGUCUAGUGGGAUUUUGAAGCUGGGAUGCCAAAAUGAAAAUGAUCAAAUAAAAAGAAAAUCUGAAAUAACAGGAGCUAAGCAGGCACAUUGUUCUCUUAAGAAGCUAGUAUGGUGGUAUUUCACCACUACCACCCCUCUUUGACCUUUUCAGUUCUGAAGUAGGCGCUGAGUAAACUCGAUGUGCCUCUCAAUCAUCACUUCAAGCUUUGACUACAGCCAGCUCUAUUUCAAUUAUUAAAACUCUUCAGCAAUUUAAAUAUAACUGGCUUAAAGUGAAACCUGUCCUGGUGUUUAAUGGGAGAGCAUACAGGGCUGUCUCUUUGGAGAGGUUUUUUUAGAAGGUUUAAUAUCUGCAUGUUCCAGGUCUAGAAAUGGAGAAGGGAAAAAUUCUGAUAGUGAUAUGCAGAUGUGUUGAAAGUGUUUCCUAGCAGUGUUAGCCAGGAAGUUUCUAUUAAUGCCAAGCUCUUUUGAAAAUAGCUAUCUGUAUAUUGGAAGAAAACAUCUCUUCUUCAGGCAUCUCAGAGUUACAAUGUCCAAAUGUUUCCAAGAUCACUUUCAAAGCUAGAGCAGAUGUCCCAUGCAAGCAGCAUGAAGUCCCUGCAUUACAGUUCCACCACAUUUGGAGCCCAUCCUCACUAGCCUGCUGGGAAUGUAUUGGCGGAAAUUGCCUCUUUUUGUUAAAGGCUACCAACUGUUCUGCAGUAGUUAAAUGCUGUCCCAGGAGAGGGAACCUUUUCAGCCUCCCACUGAGCAAUUCCCACAUUAACAGACCAGGGCAACUUGCCCAGCUAUUGGAAAAGCUGAGUGAUUUGAAAGGGCAUGAGUGUCCAUCUCCCGCUUCCUUCUGAAAUGGGGAAAAACAAACGUGUAGCCUGGCUCGUUGGCUGCCGAGGCAGCAGAUGGGACUGAUUCAGUUGCACGAGUGCCAUCUUACACCUUGGUCUUGGACAAAGGAUAAAACUAGUUGCACAGAUGGCAGAAACCAAGGACUGUAACCUGCCAGCGUACGGAAGGUUGGCCGACUCCUUUCCAUCCCAUAUUACUAAAAUAACCUAAUUGAUUUAAGGAAGCAGCCGGUGAGAGAGUAAAUCAGUCGGGGAGCACAUUGAAAGGCUAUGCAUUGCAGCUUCAGGAAAGGGAGCCUUCGGGGGCAUUUCUGCUUCUGGUAACAGUUAAACCAGUCAUUGGAUUAGCAGCUCCAUGUUUCUGGCCUGGACCGUGCUUGGCAUUGGCUGUGCUCUAGAACUGCAAAUUGCACAACAGAAAUUAAACCGGUUAUUUAGUCCUCAUAACCUCCUAUAAUACAGAGAAUCAUUAUUGGUCACUUUUUACCGACGGGAAACUACAGCACAGACUUGCUCACAGCCAUGGAGCCAUUGCACAGCAGGAUUUAGACUGUACAAGUUUGUGUCCUUGCCCUGUGCCCACCCAUUACAACGUGCUGCUUUUCUGUAGCUUCCUCUUCCUCUCCCAUGUGGUAAUUUCUUAAUAGAUAAAAAUAACUAAUGGAAAGAUGGCAGGAAGGAACUGGGGAGAUCACUUACGGAUUGUGAAAAGCCGGGGCAGAGUUUGAUUGGCUCUCUGCCAGCAUGUGACCUUAAGUGACCCAAUGGAAAUCUGUGUGCAGGUUGGGGUCCUGUCUCCCUGCUCAUAUGCUUUCAUCACUUCCUUGUUCAGUACUCCCUCCUGGCCUGACCCCAGUGUCAGAGGUGAGUGAAAACUAAGCUCAGAUAUCCAGAGUAGAGCUGAUGGAUGCCCUGGACAUGCUAGAUCUGCAAGACAUGAAGCAUGUGUUCUCUGGACCUCAUGUUGGCUCUCCUUCCUAGUGUCUAAAAUGUUUUAGCAGCAGCAGCAAGCUUUCUUCACAGUCUCAGCUAGAG
This 2357-nucleotide long non-coding RNA is filed under the name Pelusios castaneus (West African mud turtle). RNAcentral describes it as "lncRNA (ENSPCEG00000001967.1)". Lineage: Eukaryota; Metazoa; Chordata; Testudines; Pelomedusidae. The record is from RNAcentral.